This 129-nucleotide non-coding RNA is filed under the name Heterocapsa arctica. Lineage: Eukaryota; Dinophyceae; Peridiniales; Heterocapsaceae. The record is from RNAcentral.
GCAGCUGGAGGCCGCGAAGGAGUACUACGUGAAGCUCACGCCCUCCUGCGUCGACGCCGGGAUCUCCGGAGAGGAGCGCAUUCAGCGGAGGAACGAGGAGGUCCAGACCCUGAAGGAGGCGUUCAAGAU